AACCGACCCGGGGACCGCCGGGGCAACCCGGCGCCCCCGAGACGGGGCGAACCACGGUGAAAUGACGGAUCGUCGGCCCCCGCGCCGGCGACUCGCCGAAUGAGUUUCUGACCUAUCAACUCGAGACGGCGGGGUAGAGGCCCGCCGUGGUAACGACGGGUAACGGGGAAUCAGGGUUCGAUUCCGGAGAGGGAGCCCGAGAAACGGCUACCACUUCCAAGGAAGGCAGCAGGCGCGCAACUUACCCUAAUCUCGAUUCGAGGAGGUAGUGACAAGAAAUACCGAUGCGGGACCCUACGGGUGCCGCGUUCGGAAUGAGUACGAUUCGAACCACCUAAUGAGGAACGAUCGGAGGGCAAGUCUGGUGCCAGCAGCCGCGGUAAUUCCAGCUCCAAUAGCGUACGUUAAAGUUGCUGCAGUUAAAAAGCUCGUAGUUGAACGUUCGGGUU
RNAcentral lists this ribosomal RNA (449 nucleotides) under uncultured eukaryote. RNAcentral's name for it is "bacterial SSU rRNA". It matches the Rfam family "Eukaryotic small subunit ribosomal RNA", at positions 216 to 648 of the family's 1831-position model. The record is from RNAcentral.